GAAGCGAAAAUUUAGUGCAGGGGCAAAAUGGUAAUUUUAAAACUUUUUCAAAAUUACUAUUUUACAGUGAAAUUAUUAAUUAAUCUCAUUAAUUAAUACUAAUUAACCCUACACUAGGAUCUAAAUAUGAUACAACAGCAUGCAUUUAAAUUUAAAAUUCAAAUUUGAAUCAGUAAACAUUUUACAGUACUGUGUUCAGAACACAUCACCUUUUGCGGGUAGUCGAUCACCGCAAUCUGAUCACCAUCGGAGGGCUCUGAUCAUCACGUCGUAGCCACCCAACUGUCUGGCCUCUGCGGAUCGUUCACAUGAAGCUCCCGUCUGAUCAGCUCCUCACGAAUGCUAGUUCGUGAUUUCACCCUUUUGAUGGCAGAUGUUGAUCGAACUCCUUCGAUCGAUGUGUGCCGACUUCUCAGACACUCUGGAUCAUCUGCACAGUUACUUAAGAGGCUGAUGGAUCUCUCUCUAAAAUUUGGUGGACUCACAACACUCGUGGCACACCAAUCUCACUUCCCGAACCCUAGGUAGAAACCCUAGGGUACACACCAAAAACCCUGCGCCCAAUUUUUUCUCUUUUCUUUCUUUUUCUCUCAGAAGGUUUUGGACCUUCACCUUGUGCAGAAGCCUUCCUC
This 632-nucleotide long non-coding RNA is filed under the name Elaeis guineensis (African oil palm). Its description in RNAcentral is "long non-coding RNA (EGUI_LNC047668)". The record is from RNAcentral. Lineage: Eukaryota; Viridiplantae; Streptophyta; Magnoliopsida; Arecales; Arecaceae.